Molecule: ribosomal RNA, 253 nt
Filed under: uncultured bacterium
Lineage: Bacteria
Description: partial 16S ribosomal RNA
Rfam family: Bacterial small subunit ribosomal RNA
Source: RNAcentral
UGCGUAGGGGGCUAGCGUUGUCCGGAAUCAUUGGGCGUAAAGAGCGUGUAGGCGGCCCGGUAAGUCCGCUGUGAAAGUCGGGGGCUCAACCCUCGAAUGCCGGUGGAUACUGUCGGGCUAGAGUGCGGAAGAGGCGAGUGGAAUUCCUGGUGUAGCGGUGAAAUGCGCAGAUAUCAGGAGGAACACCGAUUGCGAAGGCAGCUCGCUGGGACGUAACUGACGCUGAGACGCGAAAGCGUGGGGAGCAAACAGG